RNAcentral lists this ribosomal RNA (1236 nucleotides) under Triticum aestivum (bread wheat). Its description in RNAcentral is "partial small subunit ribosomal RNA". Lineage: Eukaryota; Viridiplantae; Streptophyta; Magnoliopsida; Poales; Poaceae. The record is from RNAcentral.
AUGAACGCGCUCGCCGCGACCAGCCGCAACUUCCGCCAGGCCGCCCGCCUGCUCGGCCUCGACUCCAAGCUCGAGAAGAGCCUCCUCAUCCCCUUCCGCGAGAUCAAGGUCGAAUGCACCAUCCCCAAGGACGACGGCACGCUGGCCUCCUUCGUGGGCUUCCGCGUGCAGCACGACAAUGCCCGCGGGCCCAUGAAAGGUGGCAUCCGCUACCACCCCGAGGUUGAUCCAGAUGAAGUAAAUGCACUUGCUCAGCUGAUGACAUGGAAGACUGCCGUUGCGGCAGUACCAUAUGGUGGAGCAAAGGGAGGAAUAGGGUGCUCUCCCGGUGAUUUAAGUAGGAGUGAGUUGGAGCGUCUGACGCGUGUAUUUACUCAGAAAAUUCAUGACCUUAUCGGAACUCAUACCGAUAUUCCAGCUCCAGACAUGGGAACUAAUUCACAGACCAUGGCAUGGAUCUUUGACGAGUACUCAAAAUUCCAUGGUCACUCCCCAGCUGUUGUCACAGGGAAGCCCAUAGAUCUUGGUGGAUCAUUAGGUAGGGAUGCGGCCACUGGGCGGGGUGUAAUGUACGCUACUGAGGCUCUCCUGGCCGAAUAUGGGAAGUCUAUUUCUGGAUCAACCUUUGUUAUUCAGGGAUUCGGUAAUGUUGGUUCAUGGGCUGCACAACUCAUCCAUGAGAAAGGUGGUAAGGUAAUUGCACUUGGAGAUGUAUCAGGCACAAUCAGAAACAAAGCAGGAAUAGACGUACCUGCUCUGAUGAAGCACAGAAAUGAGGGUGGUCAGUUGAAAGACUUUCAUGGCGCUGAAGUCAUGGAUGCCUCAGAGUUGCUAGUGCAUGAAUGCGAUGUCCUCCUCCCAUGUGCCUUAGGCGGGGUUCUUAACAGGGAAAAUGCCCCUGAAAUUAAGGCCAAAUUUAUAAUCGAAGCUGCUAAUCAUCCAACCGAUCCAGAAGCUGAUGAGAUUCUUACCAAGAAGGGAGUGGUCGUGUUACCUGAUAUCUAUGCUAAUGCUGGGGGUGUGAUCGUUAGCUAUUUUGAGUGGGUUCAGAACAUUCAAGGAUUCAUGUGGGAAGAAGAAAAGGUGAACAUGGAGCUCCAUAAGUACAUGAACAGCGCGUUCCAGAACAUCAAGGCCAUGUGCAAGUCUCAAGAUUGCAACCUUAGGAUGGGAGCAUUCACCUUGGGAGUGAACCGGGUUGCUCGCGCCACCAUCUUGAGGGGUUGGGAGGCAUGA